UACGGGGGGGGCAAGCGUUGUUCGGAAUUACUGGGCGUAAAGGGCUCGUAGGCGGCCAACUAAGUCAGACGUGAAAUCCCUCGGCUUAACCGGGGAACUGCGUCUGAUACUGGAUGGCUUGAGUUCGGGAGAGGGAUGCGGAAUUCCAGGUGUAGCGGUGAAAUGCGUAGAUAUCUGGAGGAACACCGGUGGCGAAGGCGGGUCUCUGGGCCGAACCUGACGCUGAGGCGCGAAAGCGUGGGGAGCAAACAGG
This 253-nucleotide ribosomal RNA is filed under the name uncultured bacterium. RNAcentral describes it as "partial 16S ribosomal RNA". It matches the Rfam family "Bacterial small subunit ribosomal RNA", at positions 524 to 776 of the family's 1533-position model. The record is from RNAcentral.